Molecule: ribosomal RNA, 497 nt
Filed under: uncultured bacterium
Lineage: Bacteria
Description: partial 16S ribosomal RNA
Rfam family: Bacterial small subunit ribosomal RNA
Source: RNAcentral
GACGAACGCUGGCGGCGUGCCUAAUACAUGCAAGUUGAGCGCUGAAGGUUGGUACUUGUACCAACUGGAUGAGCAGCGAACGGGUGAGUAACGCGUGGGGAAUCUGCCUUUGAGCGGGGGACAACAUUUGGAAACGAAUGCUAAUACCGCAUAAAAACUUUAAACACAAGUUUUAAGUUUGAAAGAUGCAAUUGCAUCACUCAAAGAUGAUCCCGCGUUGUAUUAGCUAGUUGGUGAGGUAAAGGCUCACCAAGGCGAUGAUACAUAGCCGAACUGAGAGGGGGAUCGGCCAAAUUGGGACGGAGACACGGCCCAAACCCCUACGGGAGGGAGCAGUAGGGAAUCUUCGGCAAUGGACGAAAGUCUUACCGAGCAACGCCGCGGGAGUGAAGAAGGGUUUCGGAUCGUAAAACUCUGUUGGUAGAGAAGAACGUUGGUGAGAGUGGAAAGCUCAUCAAGUGACGGUAACUACCCAGAAAGGGACGGCUAACUACGUG